This 405-nucleotide long non-coding RNA is filed under the name Anas platyrhynchos platyrhynchos (common mallard). Its description in RNAcentral is "lncRNA (ENSAPLG00000029202.1)". The record is from RNAcentral. Lineage: Eukaryota; Metazoa; Chordata; Aves; Anseriformes; Anatidae.
UUGGCAUGGAAGAUAAUUAAUUGUACCAUGAAUUACUGAGGACAGGAUAUUUGUCCUCUUCAUUAUCAGAAAUGCCCUUCAGAAGAGGUUCUUCCUUAGAUUUUGAAGAUCAGAUCUGAUUCAAUAAGGUAGGGUAAGAGGCAUAUAGAGAAAUCAAAUAAUCUAUCCUGAGAGCAUGCAAGCACUCUAGUAAUAAAAUCCCAGUGAACCCUGGCUAUAACUCUUUUGAUGUCCUCAUCAGUGGCCACAGUCCUCCAAGGAUUGAUGGAUCAGGAAAUCCAUGUGCCAUAAGAGGAUAUUUUAUACCCAAAUUUAUUCUAUCAUUUUUGUGUGCUGAAGAUGAUGGAUGAAAUUACUUACAGCAUUUCUAAGUGAUCUGUUGUUUUUAUUAGACCCUGAUAGUCC